This 77-nucleotide transfer RNA is filed under the name Candidatus Rokuibacteriota bacterium. RNAcentral describes it as "Candidatus Rokubacteria bacterium tRNA-Arg". It matches the Rfam family "tRNA". Rfam says of the family: Transfer RNA (tRNA) molecules are approximately 80 nucleotides in length. Their secondary structure includes four short double-helical elements and three loops (D, anti-codon, and T loops). RNAcentral also lists the same sequence under 2 other names. Lineage: Bacteria; Candidatus Rokuibacteriota. The record is from RNAcentral.
GCGCCCGUAGCUCAGGUGGACAGAGCAUCGGCCUUCUAAGCCGAGGGUCGGGGGUUCGAAUCCCUCCGGGCGCGCCA